RNAcentral lists this ribosomal RNA (1434 nucleotides) under metagenome. RNAcentral's name for it is "bacterial SSU rRNA". It matches the Rfam family "Archaeal small subunit ribosomal RNA". The record is from RNAcentral.
UCCCGUUGAUCCUGCGGGAGGUUGCUGCUAUUAGGAUUCGACUAAGCCAUGCAAGUCAGAGGGGUCUUCGGACCACAGGCGAAAUGCUCAGUAACACGUCAAUAAUCUAACCUUAGAUCUGGAAUAACCUUGGUAAACUGAGGCUAAAACCAGAUAGGAGAUUCUUAUUGGAAUAUAUUUUCUCCGAAAGGCAACGUCUAAGGAUGAGUUGGCGGCGGAUUAGGUGGUUGGUGGUGUAAAGGACCACCAAGCCUACGAUCCGUAGGAGCCUUGGAAGAGGGAGCUCCGAGAAGGGCACUGAGACACUGGCCCUAGCCCUACGGGGUGCAGCAGGCGCGAAACCUUUACAAUGCACGCAAGUGUGAUAAGGGAAUCCUAAGUGCUCAAGUUUAACUUGGGCUUUUGCCAAAUGUAAAUAGUUUGGCGAAUAAGUGGUGGGUAAGACGGGUGCCAGCCGCCGCGGUAACACCUGCGCCACAAGUGGGAACCACAAUUAUUGGGCCUAAAGCGUCCGUAGCCGGUCAAGUAAAUCUUUUGUGAAAUCAUAAGGCUUAACUUUAUGUCGUGCAAAAGACACUGCUUGACUUGGAACCGGGAGGAGUCAGAAGUAUGCUGAGGGGAGCGGUAAAAUGCUAUAAUCCUCGGUAGACUACCUGUGGCGAAGGCGUCUGACUAGAACGGAUUCGACGGUGAGGGACGAAAGCUAGGGGAGCGAACCGGAUUAGAUACCCGAGUAGUCCUAGCUGUAAACGCUGCGAGCAAGGUGUCACACAUCCGCUGAGGAUGUGUGGUGUCGAAGAGAAGUCGUUUAGCUCGCCGCCUGGGAAGUAUGGUCGCAAGACUGAAACUUAAAGGAAUUGGCGGGGGAGCACCACAAGGGGUGCGGCGUGCGGUUUAAUCUAAUUCAACGCAGAAAAUCUCACCAGAGGCGACGGCAGGAUGAAAGUCAGGCUGAAGACCUUACUUGACAAGCCGAGAGGUAGUGCAUGGCGCCGUCAGCUCGUGCCGUAAGGUGUCCUGUUAAGUCAGGCAACGAGCGAGACCUACAUCUACAAUUGCCAGCUGGUUCUUUUGAAUGACAGCGCACAUUGUAGGGACUGCCGUGGAAACGCGGAGGAAGGUGUAGGCUACGGUAGGUCUGUAUGCUCCGAAUCUUCUGGGCUACACGCGCGCAACAAUGGUUAAGACAAUGGGUCACAACUCCGAAAGGAGAAGUAAAUCCUCUGAACUUAACCUCAGUUUAGAUUGAGGGUUGCAACCCACCCUCAUGACAAUGGAAUCCCUAGUAAUUGGACUUCAUCAUGGUCCAGUGAAUACGUCCCUGCUCCUUGCACACACCGCCCGUCAAACCACCCGAGUAGGGCUUAGGUGAGGCUUAGUUUUUAAUUGAGUCGAAUCUAAGCUCAGCGAGGAGGGUUAAGUCGUCACAAGGUC